Molecule: long non-coding RNA, 36736 nt
Filed under: Brassica rapa (field mustard)
Lineage: Eukaryota; Viridiplantae; Streptophyta; Magnoliopsida; Brassicales; Brassicaceae
Description: long non-coding RNA (BRAP_LNC004831)
Source: RNAcentral
GAUCGAACCAAAGGUAAAACUGCUGCUCUCUAUCACCUUUGCCUUGAGUGUAAACGUUAGUGUGAAGUAUGUAAGGAUCUCCACUAACAUUCCCCAAGAACUCGAAAUCUAUCUCGUCCCAUGUUAAUCCUUGAGACUUCAACUACACACCAAAAAAACACCAAAAUCUAUUAUUCAACGUAACAUUACGUAAUAUAUUUAUAUUUAUGACUUGCUAAUUAAGAACUUACGUAGAAGGUGGUCACGGUCCCGGCGGAAUUUCCCGGAACAAGCUUGAUCUGCAUGUCGACUUUUCCGUACAAAUACUCGGCUUUCGAUUGAAACCCUGAUCCCGAAGAUUGAUCAAGAGUGAGAUUCAAAAGAGUAUCAUUGUUCAAAAACUUUCCACGACCAUCACCCCAUGUUAUGUCAAUGUCUUGGUUGAGAUAGUUAGCGUGUGCCACAAGAAAUAUGUUUAAACCAAGAAUAAUAAUUAAUGACAUAACCAAAAGUGCCUGAGAAGCCAUUUUGGUUCCCACUUUCGGGAUGUAUCUCUUUCUUGAAGGGUUUAGGUGGUGUUAAGUGUUGAUUUGAAUUUGAGACACUCAGACGAGUAUUGAUUGGUGGGUAUUUAUAUAAUGGGGUUUUGAUUCCUUGCUAUCUUUUCAGUCCUUAAAUUUACUUUAAUUUUCUUAAAGAAAAAAAGGUGAGAUUAGUGUGGCUAAUGUGAGAAGCAACCAGCCUGGAGAGCAUAACCAAAGCUAUAGUGCUAUACAUCUUGAACAUUUAAGUCAAUUAACUAUUGCUAAUGUAUUACAUCCUAAUCUUAGCCAGCCCAAUUUAAUAUUUCAACUUGGUAUAUGGAACUUGAAAAAAUAAAGUCAACUUUUUGGACGGUACUAUUUCAUCAUAAAUUAUUUACUAUUAGUUCUAAUUUCUAUGUAGAUGCGACUGACUUUAGCUCUUGAGUGCGUAGACAGGCUAACUGGAUCCACCGAACAUGAUUUGUUACAAAAAUUGGUAAAAUUGUAAACAAUGAACUGACCGUGUGGAAGCUAAUUAAGAAAAUAAACUAUCUAAACGAUUAACUCUGAUCUUAAGUUAGAUUAUAAUUACUCUCUCUCAACUAUUUUGUUUUACCAAAAGUCAAAUUGCACCCCUUGAGUCUUUAGAGACCUUAUUUAUAAAGUACAAACAGUAAAUGACCAUAGAAGUUCUCUAAUUCAGAUAGAGAAUGAGCUAGUGGUAAAAUCGGUAUAAGUACAAACAGUAAAUGACCAUCCAACAUGCUAUUUUGCAUAUCUUCAUCUUUUUUUUUGUAAUCUGGCUUUUUGCUCAUCUUCAUCUUGUCUUGCAUCAAAUUAGAUUAGCUAGACUAAUCUGAAUUGGUCCAAGUUAUUGCUUGAUUAUCAAGCUCACCUAGACUUUACCUUGUUCUUAAUCCUUUUUGGACAAAGGUAGACUCUAGUUCGAUUAUCCCUUUUGUAAUUGUUCCAAACAAGUGUCAUAUUCAUAUAUGAAAUUCACAUUUUCGCAAAAGAUGUUAUUUACGUAAAACCUGAAUGCAAAAACCAGUUGCCGCCCAUAUUCUCGUCUGAUUAAAUAUGGAUAUGUUUAUAGCAAAGUCGAUCAUAAGAGUUGGAUGAUUCAUACAUAUUAACAUUUGAGGACCAAAACGGAUGUUGUUUCUUUCUGUCUCCAAAGUUUUUUUUUGGUCAAAUGAAAUUCCUGUCUCCAAAGCAACACUAAAAUUAUUCAUCGUGGUAAUAGCAUAAUUAAUCAUCAGACGUUAAAAAAAAGUUAAUGCUAAAGGAAAAAGUUUAUGGUCUCUCCAAAUUAGGGCAGCUCGUAGCUAUCUUUGAUAUCGAUGCAUCUGUGACACUUAAGCAGCUUUUAAGACAUAAAACCUCCAAACUAGGGCAUCUGCAAAUGAAAAACAUGCUACAUGUAAACUCAAAAAUUAAGUUCAAUUUUAUUUAAAUAUAUCAACCUAAAUUAUUUUUAUGAAAGGUUAAUGCUACACAUUUGGUCUAAGAUUUUGAUCCGAACAAAACCAGCCAACCAAAUGAACCGAAAAUUUUUAUUUUCAGAUCAAAUAUGGUUAUGAGUUUGAUUCAAUUUGAUAAGCUUUUUUUUUUAUAAAAAUAAUCGAUUAGCGGUUUUCUUUGGUAGUGGGUUAGUUUAGUUUAUAAAAGAAUUCAAACCAAGCUAACCGAAUUAACCAAUAUUUUGAAUCAAACUAACCAAAUUUAACCGAAAUUAUCUGAAUGUUUAGUUUUUUACCAGCUUAAACCAAAAUCUCAUAAAAACCAAAAGACUUCGAUUAAAUUCGGCAGAAUUUUAGAAAUUGAACUAACCGAACUGAAAUUUGAAGUUCAGUUCAGUAAGAUUUUGGACGAACCAAACUAACUGAAAUUGACAUUUCCAAACAUAUUAAACCGAAAUAACCAAACCCAGAGGCCUGCUACAAAUAGUGAUAGCACAUAUACCUCUCAGCAGCGUACAACAAAGAUUGAUCCGAACAGUGCCUAACGCGGAUCUCCUUGAGACCACCUUGGCUUCGAUCCACAACACACCGGAGAAAGGAGUCAACCUUCUGCUCAAACUCGUAACUAAACCAAAGAUUCGAAAUCCGAGACCCCUCGAACCAAGUAUCUAGAUCAAAUACCGAGUUGAGAGACGGGUCGUCGCAAGCGUACAUCCAAGGCUUGCAUACGAGCAUUGGUCCUCUCCAACGUUCUUCCAUGCUUAGCCGCGAAACUAUGUCGAUGAGACAUUCCUUAUUCAACUCUGACCAGUCACGAAGUAAACCAGAUCCGAUCGCUUCUUUGUUUCCUUCGUUGUUGUCGUUCAUUCUGAUUUUAGCUUCGUUCAUCAUGUGUUUGAUUUUUUCUUCACGUUCUCUUUAACACGAAAUAAAGUUGCAUAUAUUCAAUCCACUAGCUAAUACCUUUUGGUUAAUCUAUACUCGGUCUUUCUUUUGACUAAUCUAUACUUGAUUAAAGUUGCAUAAUGUUUGUUUUUUUCUUUCCCAGCCUAUCUUUAUUGUUUCUAUCAUCAACUUGUUCCCACAGUCUACUUUUGAUUAAUGUUAAACGGUCUUUCUUAUUACCAUCUAAAAGCAAAAGAAAUAAAAUUGGCCUUUCUUAUAUUGGCCAAAACUAUGUGUGGCCUAAUUUGUAAUAAUGAGUUUGAUAAAUUUACAGAACACUUAAAAUCCAUUUUUAUUGGGUAGUGAUGUUUUGUUCUUCAAUAGUUUUUUUACGCAAUUAAAAAUAUUUUAAUUUAGUGAUUUUUCAAUGAAAAGAAGACAAUUAAACCAUUUACAUUAUUACAUUUUAAGGAUUAAUCUGUAUCUUUAUAAUCUAAGAAUUUAAAAGUCAUUAAUGAAUUUAUCAUUAAUGAAUUUGAUAAAUUCACAAAACACUUAAUCAACUUUCAUUGGCUAUCAAAAGUUCUUUUCAAGAAAUUUUUAAAAACAUUUCAAUUUAGAAAGAAAUCUGUAUAACAAGACUGUUAUACAUUGUUACACUUUAAGUUAUUUAUAAUUAAUCAAUGUGUCUAAAAGAUUUAAAAUGUGAAAGAAAGUGAACCAAAAAAAUGAAUAAUGAGGUUGCCUGGAUGAAACACUUAAAUAACCAUGUCAUUCAACAAACUCUCUAAGACACUACACGAUUUUAACAUCCAAAAUCCUCCAACAAUAAUAUCACAAAUCAUAAAUUCAUGUACAUAAAAGACUUUUAAGUGUAUGCUUAAUAAUGCUCACACAUUUCAGCUCUUCAUGGCUUAACAUAUUCCCUGAUGAACUCUUGAACUUGCUCUGUUUGUCCUGUUAGUCCAGAUGCUUCAGCGACAGUGACUUUGUUUAAGCAAUGCGUAAAGGAAAACACUUCUCCUUCAAUCCCAAGAGUAAAGUCAUUGGCUAUGUCAGCUGUUGAAACCGCACUCCUCGAAACCCUAAGUUUCUCUCUGCAAAACACACACAGAAUAUUAACAAGCUGAAAAACAAUGAGAGCUUCUCUUCAUGGAUAACAGAUAAUAAUCAAUGUUACAUUUCUUUCUCCAUCUGCUUGCGGAUGAACUCUUUUGUGUGUGCAGUUAUUUUAUCUGUCUUGUUACAGCAAAGCAGGACUGGGAUCUUAUUCUUAACCACGCUUGCAUUGGUAAGAAUGUCGUAAAGGUACCUGGAGAAGUACAAAACCGUGUUUAAGUGUUCAUCUUCUAAGAGUCACUUUAUUAUGCCUAAGCAAAGCAUUUCUUAUGAGGUAAUUAACUUACUCUGAAGCUGCACGACAAUUUGGGAGGAACUCAAGUGCAUCUACAACAAACACAAUAGCAGCUGCUCGAGGCAAGUAUUCUUCUAGCUUAGAUCUAAGCCGAGAGUGCCCAGGAACAUCAACAAGAUGAACGGGCUUUGUUUUCUGUCAAACAAACACGGCAAUGUCUGUUAGAUAGUCCACAAAAAACACUUUAGCGUCUUAAACAAAACGCAAGUGAAGAUCUUUCUUUACCUGGGUGUUUUCAGUGUGGAGCACAAAGGUACCUUCAUUAGGUUCCAUUGACGUCACAGAACCCUGAUGAGAAGAUCCAUCUCGGAGCUGUUAUCAAAUGCAAAUCAAACCGUAUUUUAAUCUCCAAGAGGAACACUAUAAGGGAUUUGACCAGAAGACAUACUUGGAAUGAGGAAAGGAACAAAAAACCAUAAACACUCACUCGAUAGAAGAGAACGGUUUUGCCACUUCCGCUUAAACCAGAGAGGAGUACAGUAUUGGACUUCGUACGCCUGAACAAGCGAGCUGCACAAGGCAACAAACGCGACAACAUUCAUUAACCACCAAAACAUCUGAUUUUUUUUAAUUUAACGUAUAACCAAAGGGAGAUAGAUAUUCCAAAGACAUAAAAAGAAAAAAUUGGAAACAAGAAACACAGAAGCACCUUCACACUCAGUGAGCUUAUUAUACAAGUCUAAAGUGGCAUCUUGAAAACAUCAAACUCCUCUCAACCACAAACAAGAGUGCAACAAAAUUAUAACAUAGAUAAAAAAAAUCUAUGCCUACAAGGUUCCCAAUUCAGAUCCGAAUAUAAAACUCAAGAAGAAUGUGAUGGUCUACUACUACUUACUGGAGAAGAAGAAGAGGAUAGUAAAUAACAGAACGCCAAUAGCAGCAUAAAGUUGAUUCGGUGGUAUUUGUUGAACAAGUUCAGUUCCUUGAUUCAACCACUGCUCCGCCACAAUCUUCAAAUCCUCCAAGUUCUUCUCCAUUGAUUCCACCGCUUCGUCUGCAUUAAAAAAAACACACACAACGAUUUUAAGCUCCAAGGACCAAACAAGUGACAAAUUUAAUGAUCAAAGAGCAAAGAACUCAACAGAGUGAUCAGCUUCUUUCAGGCAUUUUAACGAACAGAUCUUGUGCAAUCGAUAUAUACUUUGUGAAUAUGAGCAAGGGCUCAAUUUAUAUGGAUAAAUUCACAAAAAGUUAAAUAAUUCGCAGAUCAACGAGGAAAACACACACACACACACAUUUGAUUCAAACAAAACCCAGAUCGAAAAAGGAGAAAUUGUAAAACCCUAGAUCCAGAAAAUAAACAACGAGAAAUUGAGAGAAUGUACCGCAAAAUAAGAGAAAGAGGUAUAGAAAAGAGAAGAAACUCACUCACUGAUGAGAAGUACGGCAGGAGUUGAAGAGAUGGAGACUGUGUCCUACGUGAAGAUGAGAGAUUCGUUCUCAAGAUGAGAAUACGAGAGAGAGGGUUUGGUUGGUAUAUUUUGAAGUUGGUCAAGGGUAUUAUAGUCAGAUCCAGGGACAAAUCUGUCUUAAACUAGUUACGUAUCUGAGUCAACGCAUAUAAUGGUACGUAACUUUUAAUAUCUACAACUAUAUUUUUUUUGAAACUCUCAAAAAUAUUUUUUUUUACUGUUUAUAUAAAAAUAUAAUAAUACAUAAUAACCUUUAGUUCAUAUACUAUUUAAAAAAUAUGCUAUUAGAAAACUAUCAAAUUUUAAUAAUUCAUUUAAAAUAUUAAUGAAAAAUAAAUUUUAAUGAUUAAUUUUUUAUUAUAACAAAAUCUGUUGACAAAAAUUUAGAAAAUAUUACCAAAAAUUUAAAUAUUUUAUAAAAUAAUAUAUUAAUGUUAUUAAAAAAAACAAAUUCAAAAUUCAUGUAAUCUUCCCAACUCAAAAAUAGUUGUGUAAUGUUCUAAAGUUUUCUUGACAAAAUAUAAAAUUCUGAAAAUAAAAAUUCAAACUCAAAAUGAUAAUAUUUCAAAUUUUACAAAAGAUAAAAUCAAAGAUAAUAAAGAAUAAUUUUUUUGAAAUGCACCACAAAAAACAAACUACAUAUGUUGUAAAAAUUAAAGCAGCCUAAUAUUUUAAAAUUUUAAUUAAAAAAAAAAGAAACCUUAAUAUCAUAACAUCCAAAAAUAUCAUAUAUCAAUAAAAUUUACAAAAAUAUACGAUAGAUGCUACUAUGUAUAAAAUUUAUUAUUUUAUAUAAAGAAUGAGUGGUUUUACUCAUAAAUCCCAUAAAAAACUAAAAUGAUAUAAGUUAAAAUAUUUUUGUAAACACAAAAAUGUAAAUAUAAAUUAUCUUACACAUAUAUCUUUUUUAUAAUAUAAAUAGAUAAAUCAAUUUUAAAAAUGUAUUAUAUGCAAAAUGUAUAAAUUAAAGAAAGCAAUUAUUUUGAACAAUGUUCUCUAUUUGAUUAUUUUAUAUUGUUAUUUUAUUGUAGCUAAUUCGAAAAUAUAUUAGCAAAUAAUAAAAAUUAAUAACAAAGUAAAAUGUAUUAAACAAAUUACUAUAUAUUAAUAAUACCAAAUAUGAAAUAUAAAUAAUAAUAAUAUUGAGUUACACAAUAUAUAGCACUAAAAUAGAAAUUAUAUAUUAAAACAUUUGUAAAAAUAUUAAAUACAUUUAUAAAACGAAAAAUAUCUAAAUGGACGUGCGGAUUAAAAUCUAAUUUACAGUUAUGUCAUUUUCUGACUUGUCGUUUCCUAACGAUAACGAUAAGAGGUUUGAUGUUUCAAAAAAUCUAAGGCAAACAUGAACACAUACAUUAUUUUUAAAUAACAAUAUAAUUCAAACAACUAAGUAAUAUAAAUACCAAAAAAUAAAAGAAAACAUUCAAACAGCUAGUCAAAACAAUUGUUAGAGGCGAAUUAAUCAGUUAAACUGAAGGACCAUAGCAUCCCAACCACAAUGACUCUAUAUACCAAUUUAUCUCAUAACAUAUUAUUUCAUACAUACAAAUUAACCAACCUCUAUAAUCAACAAAAACACAAGGAUCGUGACACAAACAAGGAAGAACUAGGCUCAUGGGUUUUACAGACGCAUGAAAAUAUAUUUACUUCUCGGAUGAGAAUAACGUGAGAUUUAGGUUUUCAAACUAGACGAAGGGAGAAAGGAGAAGAGAUUUUCACCAGUGAACAUGAGGCUCGCCGGCGGCUACACUAUCAGAUCUAUGUAUAGGCUCUUUGCUUUCCCGAAUCACAUUGAUAGUCAAAGGUCUUGUUAGAUUCGGAUUUAUCAUGGGCUUAUAGCUUAAAACCAAUUGGUGAUUAGUGGAUUGACCUUAAUCCUUUAUAUAUUACUUAAGGUCCCUUAGAAGUUAGAAUUGUCGAUGUGAGAUAUAUAUAUCCCUAAUACCCAUCUUCGAGAUGAUGGCUCUUAUCGGCCAGAAAUCUCGAAACUUUAGGACAUUUAUACUCGGUCGAGCGAGUUUAACAUGACCUUUAUACUAGGUCGGAAAGAGUUAAUCACGACCUUUAUACCCGGUUGGAAGAGUUAAUAUUAAUUAGGAGUUUGGAUAUUUAGGAUCUGAGCUCUGAUAUUAUGUUAAAUCCAGGUUGAUUAUGGGUUUCCAAUUUAAAACCAGUUGAUGAUUAGUGGAUUAGUCAUAACCAUUUAUAUAUUACUUAAGGUCUCUUAGAAUUCUCGAUAUGGGAUAUAUAUCUUUAAUAGGUCUCUAUAACAUUGUGUUGCUGGUUUUCUUUUCUUUUUCUUUUUUCCCUUAAAAUGACACUUUUUAUACAACCUCGUGAUUUCUUGAUAUAAUUUUCUCGGUCUAUUACUUUUAAUUUAUCCAAUUUCAUUACCUGUUCUUUGUAAUUUAAAAGUUAAAAAGAAAGAAAGUAUAAAACAUGAAUUGCACAAAGGCAACGUUAACGUCUUUUGAAGUUUAAACCAUCAAGCUUUUAAAUGCCACAACUAAACCUUUUUAGUCAUCUACCUUAUUACACGACAAAGAUAUAUAACAUCUAAAAACUCAGCAGUUUCUGGAGACCAAGAUUUUUUUUUAAGCAGAGAAAUACUUUUUGGGUAUUGAAAAAGCAUCCAACUAAUAUUAUUUGAGACUGGUGUUAUUUAUUCCCAAUAGAAGAGGGAACUGUAAACCCACUUUUAAAGUUAAUUUUAUCGGAUAUUUUUUGAGUAAGGUUUUUCUGCAAAGAAGAUUAAUUUUCUAAGUGUUAAAACAUUUAUAGUCAUCUAAGAUUGAAAUGAAAAAAAAGUGAAUUUGGACUAAAUGCCGAAUAUGUCGUGAGCACUUUGGAUAGCCGUCACUUCUUGUUCGUUUAGUGCCGGGCCGAAGGCUAGUGUACGAUAUGUUAUACUUAUAUCCUAACGCUGAGAAAUUAAAAUCAGUACUUGGGAGUAUAAAAACGACCAAUUGUUUUUCACGACUAUAUUAGUAAUUCAAAUGGUGUUAUAGUAUAAAACUACUUGAAUAUAAAGAUCUAAUUGCAACUAUGUGGAGGGCCGCACAUGUGUGCAGACUUAAUAUGAUUUUUAGUUUUGAUAUAUAUAUUUUUAUGAUUUAACAUUUAUGGUUUAACAUUUGAGACUUUUUAAAUAUUAUAUACUUUUCAUUCUAAUUAUUAUAGUUGAUGUUUAAAUUUAUAUCAUAUAUAAGUAUGCAGUAAAUAAUUCAUGUAGAGUAUGUUGAUAUGUAGUAUUCUGACAUCAUAACCACCCGGUCAAGACCUAGUUAUAUAUUAUUUAGUGAUAAAUGAAAUAUAGAAAUAAUAGAAUCAAAGUAAAAUUAAAUUAAAUACACUGACUUAAUUCUUAGGGUCUGACUGGUUCAACCGCAGCGGUUGCGGUUGCGGUUGCGGGAGUUUGCGGAUGCGGGUGGUUGCGAUUUCUAGCAGUUUUAAGAGAUUUGUACGACUGGUUCUGCGGUUAGAAAUUGGUGCGUUUGCGGGAUACUUAUGACUGGUUAACUACCAAAUACAGCAGUGGUUAAAUAAUAAAUUAACAAUAUUUACAUUUUAUACAAUUAUAAAAAUAUCAAAAAUAAUAAUAUUAUAAUAAAUAUAAAAUUUAUAUUUAGAAAGUUAUACUUUAUUUUUUUAAAAAAAUAUAGAAAAUAUUUUUGUUUUAAAGUUUUAUAAUAUUAAUUAAAAUAUAAUAGAUAUAUUUUAGUAUUUUUAUAAUUCUAAUUUAAUUUUUUUUAUUGAAUAUUUUUAUUUUUGUAUUUAUAUUGUUUUGGAGAAAAAAUAUUUUUUUUUAAUCUUCCCGCAACCGCCCGCAACUGCAAACGCUAGCUGGAACCAGCUUUUGAAUUUAUGAGGUUCAGAGCGAUUUGGAGCGGUUUGGAGCGGUUUGAGCGAUUGUUGCAAAAUGCCAACAACCGCUACCAACCGCAAAAGCUGCGUUUGCGGGUGGUAGCGGGAAAACCAGUCAUACCCUUAGUCUGAUUGUAACCUCUGAUGCCCUUUUUUAGAGAUUUUAAAAUUAAAAUAUCAAUUUAAAAAAAUAUAGUUGCUAACUCUUGUAGCGAGGCAUGAAUUAAGGUUAGACGAUGAGGUGUUGGAGGAACGAGUCUAUAAUGCUCUCCUGUUCGUGUUCGAUAAGGAGCUUAACUUGUCCUCCAUCUCCAGAGUCAGAUUUGAGAUUUAGGGAAUUGUUUUUAUAUUUAUUUUAAUAUAUAAAAUUCAACAAAAAAAUUAAUUCGAUAUUCGACAAUAUAUGGACCAUGAAAUCCAUAUAUAAUAGAUUUCUACAAUUUAAAGACCAAAACAAAUGUUUCUUCUAGCUGUGAUCAGAACCGGCCAUGUCCAUCUUGAGGAGCCGGGGGAGCUCCUACAGCUAUCAUUUGUCUUCCUAUCAUUGAUGUUUGUUUCACAGCACCCACACCUUUUAACACAUUAGCCAUUUCUUUAGAAAAUUAACUCACCAAAAAGACUAAAAUUCAAAAGGAAGCUGAGAUGAGAGGAUUUAUGUAAAAUAAAAACUUAGUAAACUAUAACUGUGAUAAAUAUUUUCGGAAUAAAGAGACACUGACCUAGGUGACGGAAUGUAGCCUCUGUCACACCAACCUGAAAAGAUGCACAUAGAAGUAUAUGAACCAAACUUAAAAGAAGAAACGCUUGAAGUGUUUUUUUCAUUGUCAUUGUUUUGUUGUUCUUCCCUCACGUCUCGACCAUUAGUGGGUAUAUAUACAGAUUGCAGCAAACAAAAUCAACCGUAUAGUGGACAAAUAAAGUGGAAAUGUCAAACUUCUUCGACUUCGUCUCAUUCAAGAACGCGGUUUUCCACUGUUAUACUUCUUCUGAACAUUCAAAUAAACACUUGACCAAAAUUAUGUUCCAUGAAUAUAGCCGGAUAACUACAGAUGCAAGACUUUAGGAGUUUUUGGAUUAUUUCAGGUUAAACUGUUCAUCGUUUGUCAUGGUCGUAUUUCGUUGAGUUACAUUUUAAAUAAAUUUGUUUAAUUAUUUUUUUUUUGUAAAUUUUGGUUAGAGAAUCUUAUAUAUUAAAACAGAAGUCACAACUUUGAUUUAUGUGUGAUUUUUUUAAAAAUGGACCUAAUAGACCUAUUCAUAGAAAUUUAUAUUAUAUUUUAGUUCAGACUAAUAAUAAAUAGAAUUUUUAAAAUAUUUUAAUUAUAAUAUCUUUUGAUAUCUUUUCAUUUUAAAUAUAAAUAUAUUUAUUUUAAAAUUCUAACAAAUCUGUUUAAAAAGAUUUUUACAAGAUCUUCAUUUUCGAAAUUAUAUUUAAAUAUUUUUGCUAAUUUCAAAAUUAGUUUAAAAUAUUAUUAUGCAUUAAUAUAUUCAGUUAUAUAAAAUUAAAAAUAAAAAAAUCUAUAAUAUUUUAUUUAUUAUAUAAUCAUAAUCAAUCAUAUUAAAAUAAAAUUAUUAUAUUGAGCUAAAUAUAAUAAAAUUGUAUUAAAUUUAUAUAUUUAUUUAUUUUAUUUUCGUAAUUAUAAAAUAUUUAUGUUCAAAAAUAAAAUCUAAUAUGUUGGUAAGAUGGGUUAACAUUAUCAAACUAUAUAAUACAUGUAUAAAAAUUAACAUGUAUUUCUUUAAAGUUAAUAAUAUAAAAUCUUUGUAACUACUUUAAUCAUAAUAUAUUUUCAUUUUAAAUAUAAUAUAUAUUUAUAUAUUAUAUUUUAAAAAUUCUAAUAAAUCUGUGUAAAAAUAUUAAACAAUAACUUAAUGUAUUUUAAGUUAUCGUUUAAAAAUGAAAAUAAAUAAAUUAUAUCCUAUUUUAUCUACUUUAUAGUCAAGAUCAUGUUAAAAUAUAAUUAUUAUACUAAAAUAAAUACGAUAAAAUUAUAUUCAAGUGAUAAAUUAAUAAAUUUUAUUUUCAUAAAUAUAAAUUAUUUAUUUAAAAUAUAAUAUGAUGAUAGAAUAGCUUAAAAUUAACAAACUAUAUAAUACAUGUCUAAAAAUUAACAUAUCUUAGACUUUUAUAUAUACAAUAAUAAAUUAUCUAAUAUUGGUAAAAAGAAAUCCAGUUUUGAAAGACGGAUCAAAAUUUUAGCAUAAAUUAAAUACAAAAUAAUUUUUAAAUAUAUUUUCUCAUUAAUAUAUUAAUUUGCUUAAUAACUAAAUGCAAAUACAAUAAGAUAAAUAUAUAAUAAGAAGUGGUAAAUACAUACGGUUUAAACAAUUAAUUAAUUAUAACAUGUAAAUUAUAAAAUUAUUGUAUUUGAAAUAGUUAUAUAAAUAUUUAAGUAUAUGAUUAACAUUAAAAAUAUAUACCACUUAUGUUCUAAAACAAUAAUUUAUGUAUAGAAAAGUGAAAACAAACACCCGUGCGGUUGCACGGGUCAAAAUCUAGUAAUUAUGUUAUAAGACAAGUGCAAUUUUGGUAAAUUUGGUUAGAGAAUAAUUUAAUAAAAACAAAUAAUUUUUGGUCAAUUAAUUAAGUCUGGUAAGUUUAGAUAAAAAAGAAUCUAACAAAAUAAUUAACUGUCAUAAGUUGGUAAAUAUUAAAAUGAAGAGUGAGUUAUUUUCAAACAGUAUUUCAGUUUUCAUAAUAUAGAUGGUACAUAUAUCUUUAUUUCUAUGUUAACAAUUACACAUUUCAAAUUAACAACCAUGUCUGCUUCUAACAUAUUAUUCUGCUUGGUCUAUUGAGAUGGUUAAUUUCAAUCUUCCCGAAAAUAGUAAUUUCCAUUAACCAAAAAGAGGCAAUACCAUCCUUAAGAUUCCACCAAACUCCAUAAUUUCUCAAACCUUGCUACUAACUUACUAAAUUGCAAUAUUACACGAUAACGAAGAGAAGAAGGCAUUGUCAGUUAACUGAAGAAGAAGAGGAGCUCAACUCAACAUAUACUUGGCAAAAGCUUUGGAUAUAAUCGAAAAGCCCAUGUACUAAUCCUUGAGAGUUUUUCUUGAGAGAAUAGUCAUCACUUUCCCCUGUUAACAUAAAAAAAGAAGUGAUUGUGUGUUUUCAAUUUCUCGUUGUGUGACAAAUCCAAGUUGAUACAUCAUAAAAAAGAAAGAAUCCAGUGGAGAUUGUGAUACUUACGUGUUCAUCAUCAGCGUUAUGUUGUCUCCUUUAAGAAGAAUCCUUCCUGAAAAUAGGCAUUUUAGAGAGGGUUAUUGAACCAUAAGAUAACAAAUAAAAAGAGAGAGACUUGUUAUCAAAGAGCGAGUCCAGGAAUAAAAAAGACUCACCAAGUUGUUUUCUGGUGUUCUUCUUGAUGCUCACUUCUUCAGCUUCAUCCAACACUAGGUUCAUGUAUUCGUCAAACCCCUGCAAAAAAGGAGAAAAAUUGAAAAGAGGAAAUCAAUGAGAACGUCAUAAUCACAAAUUCCUCAGAAUCAACAUAAUAGAAGUACGAAAAAACUUCAACUUUAACUCAAGAAAAGAAAAAUAUGUUAAUAAUAACUGAACAAGGAACAUCCAAAGUCAAGUAAGCAACUCCACGUUUUAACAAAUUUUCUGAAUUGGCAAAGAGUCAAUCUAAGAAAAGCUUGAAUUUUAACUCGAGAAGAGUCAUAGUAUCGCAAUAAAAACCAAAACAAGUCAAGUAGAUGAUAAUGACUCAAAAGAAAAGCAGAGUGUAAGAAAAGAGUCAAAUCAUUACUCUGAGAAGAAUCAAAAGGAUAGCAAUACAAAUUGAAACAAGAAAGACACACAGUGAAACCAAUGACACCAUCAUCAUAAAUCUAACCUAAGAAUCAAACUAGUUUGUUUUCUAUUAUCAGUGGUUCGGUGCAGUAACAAAUCAGCCAGGUAACAAAUGCAACAGAGAGCUUAGAGAUUAUCACAUAGUUCAUGCUUAUGGAGAGACAGAUUCACAGAGAAACAAGAGAGUAUAUUGGAUGGCGACUUACAGUGAUUCUUCCUUCAAUCCUCAAAUCUUUCUGCUCAAAAAGCCAAAUCUGGAUCCUAGCUUUCUGCAUCACAUAGAGAGAGAGAGAGAGAGCACGAAUCAGAAUACAAUAAACCAACACGAAUCCAAUGGUUUAAGGAGCUUACGCUUUGAAGAAACCUAAAAAUCAAGUUCUGGAUCCGCCGCCGGCAAAAAAAACAAAAGGAAAAAUUAGUAAAAGAACAAAGAGAGAGAGAGAGAGAGAGAGAGAGAGAGAGAGAGAGAGAGAGAGAGAGUAGUCGAAACAAUAACAGAGAAGAUCCACGCACGAUAGGUUGGGUCAUAAUCCUUUGAACUUUGGUGCUCGCCAUUGCUCCCGACGUUUCAAUUCUCUCUCUCCCUCAAGCUUCGGUGGACAAGAAGAAGAAAAACCCUAAAUCACGACGAGAGAGAAAGAGUCGCUGUGUAUAGCAUUUUAUAUCUUCGCAGUUCAACUUUCGGCCCAUACAAAUUAAUACACUUAUUGGGCCAAAACUUCUAAUCUUCUUCUCUUUCACUAUCCUUGCAAAAACUUUUUCUUUUUUUCUUUUUAUGUUGUGAGUUGAAUCUCAAGCUUUUUUAGUUUUCAGGUUUAAGUUUUAUUCGGUUGUUAUACUUUGGUCUGAAUUGGUUAAUAAUACUUAGGUGUACAUGUACUAGUUCUUACAUUUUUAUACAUUGAUAUUUAUUUUUCAUAAUUAGUAAUUAGUGUUAUAUAUUUCACAUAGAUUAUAUUCAAAAGACUUGGACCAAAUCGAGUAAUAUAGUUAUUUUUAAUACAAAUAUCUGAAAUUGUACUCAUAUACAUUUGUUAUUUAGAUAUUUUUAGGUUUUUAUAUAUCAGAACUGAACUCAUUCAGAACCAUAAGGACUCAACUCAAAAUCUGCACAUUAUUUUGUAAUAUUCAAAUGGGGAUUAAUUUCAAAAAAAAAUGAUACUUGAAAAAACAAUCAGUACAUAAAUGGAUAGUCAAUGUUCAUGUCUAACUGAUUUUAUAAACUAAUAAAAAUAACUAUUCUCUAUGUAUUUGGCUAAUAUAUUUUUAUUAUUUUGAUUUAAGUUAUUAUUUUAUUCACAAAAACAUUUCUUUGAAUCAUGUUUUUGGCUACGUAAUUUUCCACCGAUUGAUACUAAAAAAAUUUGAGUAAAACAAACUAAACCGUUCGGUUUAACCAUAUGCAAAACCCAGUUUAUUACAUUUUUAUUUUAUAAUUGACACAAAGUUAAAUGUUGAUUAACUCAUAAAUAAAAAUCUGUAUUAUUAAUUUUGUGGCAAUAUAAUUAAUGAUGUGAUGUAUUGUUAAGGUAAUAUAAUUAAUGAAAUUGUUUAACUGAGUAUAGGUUUGGAGUAUUCAUCUCCGAUGUUAAUUCUUAUUUGGACACUUAUUCAAGCUUUCUUUUUGGAUAUUUUUCAAGUAUUCUUUCGGUUUCGAAAUGAUACUUGAUAUCCGAAAGCUAGCCUACGUACUUUACAUGUCUUCUUUUUUAACGUUGAUUUAUUAUGACAUUAUGUUUUUGCGAAAGAUUAUAUAGACUAUUCGAUAACUGAAAAUACUACAUGUUAUUAAGAUCGUCGCCUAACUACUCACACUUGCACCAUGUUGAAAAUUCUUUGUAAAUCUUUCUUUUGUAGUCUUGCAUUAAUAAAUCGCUCUUUCCAGGACUUAAAACCUGGAUUUCAUGUAAUCUGCUUGAAAUUGCAUAGUCGGAGGUUUGAAUCCCAAACUUUAGUGUAGAAACCUUUAAACCUUAACCAUUAUGUUACAAUGCUUCCACACAUGCUUUACAUGUAGAAGCUGCAUCUUUCAUAUGAUGUAGAGUUCAAAGAGGAAUAUGGGAGAGCUUGUUCAGUACUUGUAUGGUUCAAACGCAAACUUCAUUUCUCACCACACAGAGAUUUACAUAACCAACAGUAACAAUAAGCAUAGCAGCUAUCUAUGCUGGCUAAAUAAUCAUAUCCAAAUACAAAAACAAUUAGCCUUUUCUACAAAGAAUCCAAGCUUUGAAUAGCGAUCAUGCCCCAUUUAUCAUCAGAGAUUGAAAUGGAACUUUUUUAAUCUCCACAAACGUUGAAUACUCAGGAUUCAUAGGUUGCUUCCAUGGCUCACCAUCCAUUUGCAAGAACGCAUCUUUCCAGUCACCUCCUCUUAGCUCAAAUCUAACAGCAGCAGCCUAAUAUUGAUCACCAAAAACAGAACCUUGUUAGUACAACACUAUGGUUAUAUGACUGCAUUUUUAAGUGGUGUAUUUAUCAAGUUACCUGAGCUAUGUGCUUGGCUGAGAUGAGCUCAGUCAUGACAAAUGACGCAUGCCAUCCAUGCUUGAAAGCAAAGAUCUCUAUCAAACCAUCAUCAGAAUGUGCCUCCACAAAACCUCUCUGAGGAAAAAUAAAAACGGAAAGCCAUUAGAGAUUUGAGUUCAAUGAUUGAUGAAUUGAAAACAGUAGAAGAAACAAAUACCUUCUCUAGAUAGUCAGGUUUUAGAUUACCCCAGGGAUGACUUCCACUUCCAUAGCUUUGAAGAUUCAAUGCCACAACUGAUCUCACACUACAAGACAAACCAAUGCAUUAAAGAUCAUACAAUGUAAUAAGUGGAAGCAUAUAUAUAUGUAUAGAAAGCUUACUUUUUGGGGACUGCUAUCUCUUCCCAUUGAGAGCAGUUAACCUUCUUGAUGUGGAUUUUCAAUAUGUUCCUAAGUCCCCUGCACAAGCAAGCAACAGUUUCAGUAACAACACAAAAAGUACACAAUCAGAAGCGGAAAUAACGAACCUUAAGCCUGGAUCACUGACACACGGCGUGCAGAACCAACCCUGAGUGCAGCUAAAGCCAGAAUAAAUAAGCUGCAAAAAGGCAAAACGUUGUGUGGUUACGUAAUAACAGACACACAGAAGAAAGAGAUUUAGAGUUCGGUUAAAUAAAAACAAACCUUGUUUGAGAUGGGGCCUUGAGCAAGAUAUGGUUUAGUGUUGCGAAGAUGAUGGAAGCCAUAUGCAACUUGAGCAUCCAUUCCAAUGCUUAAGUAAUUGUAGAACACUCCUUCAUAGGUCUUUGCCACUGGCGGGGCAUCUACUCCUGCCUCUAAACCCUGGUCGAGUUCAUUUUCCUCGGAUGCUUUUAAAGAGUAAGGAGGAUCCACCACUUCUCCAGAUGGCAUUGACACUAGAAUCUUCCAGCUGCAAAUAACCAGAGCAGAGCACACACAUAUUAACAAUACAAGACAGAGAGAAAAACAAAACUGAAAAACAAAACUCUAUAUUCACCUAUCUAGCCUAGCAACUGGACCCAUGCUUGCGCGAUGGAGUGUUCUUUUAACAGCAGAUCUCCAUGCAAAAGGGAACGAACCACCCUGAAAGAGAAGCAACCAGUAAGAAGACUUGUUGUGAAAACAUAAAAGAGAGGAGAAAGAUCAACUGACCCAACCAAAACUCCUUGAGAGAUCAUUCCCUGUACCAAGAGGGAUAACGCCAACAGGAGGAAUAUGUGAUGUUUCAUCUUUGUUAAGCUCUCCAAGACAUCCAAGAACCCAACCAACAGUACCAUCACCUCCUGCAACCUAUCCAACCAAACUCAAAAUCACAUUCUAAUAACUAAAAGGUAAGAAAAUAAUAUUAGAGUGGAGAAAUAUUGUUUGUGCUCACCAUAAUCCUUAACCUAGCUCUGCAUUCUUUAGCACAUUCAUCUCCUUCCGCUGCAACUUUCUCCAAACACGCCAAACCGUAUCGAACAAACUCAUGUGGCUUCACUUCCGUGAGAUCAAACACCUGUUUUUAAUACAAAAUCACCAAUGAAAAUUCCAAUUAUAAAGCCUAUUCCCGAAAGAAAAAAAUUCACAAAAUUCCAAAUAAUUUUCGACCAUUCAAACAGAAACUCAGCAUUACAGAAGACUCAAAAUAUAUAAUCUUUGAAGUCAACGCAUCAUCCAACAACAACAAGAAACACACAAUUUUUCCAACUAGAUCCAGCAUCAACUAAGCAUGAAACCCAAAUCACACAGUUGAAAAAUAAAUAAUAGAAAAUCUUGUUAAGACAGAACACAAAACACAUCUCUCUUUACACACUAAACCAAUCCAUUAUCCAUAGAUCAGGCAGGUUUCAUUCAUAAUCUAAUCAGAAAGAUCCACUUAGUAGAUAUGAAUUAGAUUUCAAAACUAUUCACAAAUCCAACAAAAACAAAUUGUUUGACCUUAACCAGAAACAGAGAUUCAUUGCAGAACACUCAAAAUGUUCCUUCUUAAAAAGUCAACUUAUCAUUCCAACGACCAAAAAAAAAAAUUCCCCUACCUAACCAAAAGAUCUAACAUCAACCAAGCAUGACCAUUUAUAACAGUUGAAUAAUUUUCUUAACUGAAGCAAAGAAUAAAAGAGAAUCUGAUUAAGACAGAACACAAAACACAUCUCUGCUACACACUAAACCAAUCCAUAGAUCAGACCAGUUACAUUCACAAAGCAGAUAUGAAUAAAGAUUUCACAAACCCAAUUAAAAAAAAAACAUUUUUUGUUUGGUCUUAACCAGAAAAAAAAAGAAGAAGUCAGUUACAAAGACAAAACCAAACCUGUUCAUCGCUCAUCAACUGUUGAAGCCUCUCUUUAAGCACCGGACCAUGACGACCACCACUUUUAGGAUUGAUAAACACAACCAUCGGCGCGUGAGGAGCCAUGUCAGCGACGCCGCCACCGGGAAGAAGCAAAUGGUCAGGAAUCGCCGAGGCAUCUUUCCUUUUGAUACAGUCACGCAUGGCCAAACGUAAAUACUCAGGCAUCAACAGCCUCUGACGCAGCUCCUCCUUGUCUACACCGACCCACGUCAGAUUAGCAAGCCCACAGCCUCUCAUCGCCGCGGUGGAAUCAACCGUGGAUGACCGUGAAGCAACGAAUUUCUCCGUCGUUGCAUCCAUUAAACCCAAAAAAGGUGAAUACUUUUCGUGCUGUGAUUGGUGGAAAUGGAGAAUAUUCGAAACCCAGAUAAAUCAAAAACUGGAUUUUGACGACUGGGUUUUUUUUCUUUCUUGUGGAUUCAAAUCAACCAAUCUCCAUUGACCAGUUUGUUUGUUUUUUCGUUUUUAUAUUCUUUUUUUUUCUCCAGAGAUGUUGAAUUUUGAAGACAGCGAAGAAAACGUGUAGCAAUAUGUUUUUUUUUUCAAAAAGGAAUGACACGGUUGGAUUUAAUGUGACGUCAUAAAAUGCUCAUCUAGGUGUUAAUAAGUCACAGAGCUGACACUCUGUAUUUUCCUUAAGAUCUUUGAUAAAAUCUUUAAUUUCAAUGAAAGUUAUAUUAUAUUCCUCUAAGUGAUUAUUUUGUAUUAUCACAAUGAUCUCCAAGAUUUGAAUAUUAUUACAGGACAGCUAGAUUACACACAUUUUUGGGUAAUACUAAUUCAUUAGGCAAUAAUCCUCGUCUUGCGAAGAAUGUGAUUAUUAAUUUCGUUAUUUUUAAUAAAAAGACAUUAAAUCUGUUUAAUCUGGAUAUUAGUUCGGUUUUAAGUUUUUUUUUGGUUUUUAAUCUUCUAAAAUAUAACUAUUAUUUUCAAUUAAUAUUCAUUUUAGUUUAUUCGGUUAAAAUGAUUGAUUUUUUGUUUUAUUCGGUAAAAACCAAAAAUUAAUAUUAUUUGUUUAUUUUCAUAUUAUGAAUUUUAGAUAAUCGUCGUAUCGAUCCAAUAUUUUCAUAUUAUAGUUCCUAAACAGAUAAUAGUUUAAGAAAAAUAAAAGAAAACUAUUAAGACAUUUCAUUUCACUACAAUUUGGUCGGUAGUAAAAGAAGCAUUAAGAAAAAAUAUUUCAACUUUCAAAAAAAUUAGAUACUUUAGUUAUGGUGAAUACUUAGUUACAAGGUGCUCACAUCAAGGUACAUAUGUAUGUGUAUGUAAAAAGUAUAUAAAAUAGUUGACAAAUAUAUAAAAAUAUUGCUAAUUAAUAUUAAAUGACAUUUUUGUUCAAAAUAAUACAUGAAAGAUAAAAUUAAAAUUAAUUUUAAAUAAAAAAGGCCUUGAGAUUAGUCAUUUUUUCAUAUAAAGAAAAUAAAAUUGUAUCCGUAAAUAGGGGUGGACACAUUUCGAAUAUCUAGGUAUUUGAAAGCAUUCGUGUAGAUUCGAUCUUUAGCCACCUAGAUAUUCGGUGACUCGGACAUCCGAAAUGUUUUAGAAUUUUAAAGAAUAUCCGAUUUGAUCCGUAAAUAAAAUAAAAUUUUAAAAAUAAUUGAAAAUUUUAAUAAUAAAAAUUUAUUACAAAAAUAAAACAUUAUUUAACUUUUUAAAUUCUAGUACCUAAUAUAAUAAACUUAAUUCAUAAAAUAUUGUAAAACUGAUAUAAAGUAUAAUAUAUAUAACAUAUAUAUAUAAUUCUUUACAUAUAUGUUUAUAUAUAUAUGCAUAUAACAUAUCGAAUUAGAUAUAUGUUCCUAAAAAUAUUAGUAUUUGUGAUUUGCUUCUUUUUUGGAUAUUGUAUUUUAGUAUUUGAUUUGUUUCGUAGAUUUACGGAUAUCCAGAUUUUUUUGGUUCAAAUCAAAAUGGAUAACGAAUCGAAUCAAAAUUUAUGAAUAUUUUGCUCAACUUUAUCUGUAAACAAUAAAAAUAACAUAUAUAUAUAGUUUAGGUUUUGAUUCGUUAUUUAAUUUUAUUCGAACCGAAAAAUUUGGAGUUUUAUUGGAACCAUGUAUGUGAGUUUUAUAUUAAAAAAAGUUUAAAGUACAUAAUAUGAACACAUUUAUGAACAUAGUGUGAACGCAUUAACAUACUUAUUAUCAAAUUAUUGUUAAACUGUUACGUGUCUAUUAUAGUGUGAAUGUAUUUAUUACAAUGUUUCUCCUUUAAUAUAUAAGGGAUUUAUCAUCAAAAUAUAGUUAAAGGACAUUUUUUUUUGACAAAUGACAUUUAUUCCUAUGUUUCAUAUUGUUUGGCUGAUAAUAAAAAGAAUUUUUCAACCUAAUAUAAUUUAAUACUUUUAAGGUUUUAUAUUAAUUUAGGUAAGGUAGAAUUUAUUAGUUUUGACGUGUAUAGAUCAGCAAAGAAAAUAAAAUUUGUCUUUUAUUCAACUUCAUUAUGUCUCUAAAAAUGGACUGAAAUCAUGAUAUUUUGGGCAAAAUUAAAACCAAAUAAUUAAUUAAGACAUUGUUAGAAUAAAAUAUGAUGUCAUUUAUCAUAUUUAACAUUGUUCCAAGACGUGUUUACAUACGUUUUAGGUAAUACUAAUAAAAUGAUUUGUCAUCGCAAUAUAGUUUAAUACUUUUAUGUCUUUUAUAACUGAGUAAAGUCAAAUUAAUUAUUUUAAAGUGUGCAAAUCAGUAUAGAAAAAUUGUAUUUUUUUUUACUUCAUUAUAUGUCUCUAAAAAUGGACUAGAAAUCUGAAAUCAUGGUAUAUUUUGGAAACCGAAACCAAAUCAUUAAUUAAGACAUUGUUAGAAUAAAGUAUGAUGUUGUUGAUCAUAUUUAAAAUUGUUCUAUUAGUGUUUAUAUUGGUUAGAUAUGGUUUAAUAUGAUUAUCAAAAUGUAGCAUACUUUCACUUUCCACCAAAGAAAUAAUAAAAAACCACUGAUAAUAAUAAUACAGAGUGGCGUUUUCGUAAGUACACAAGUGAAUAGUUUGGCGUUCAGUGUAAAUUGUAAAACAAGCAACGAAGGAGACCAGACAAGUUGGAGUGGGUCUUGCGCAGAAUGGGCCCCACGUUGUUAAUGUGCUCACCAAUCAGGAAUUACUUUUGAGAGAGGUGCACUUUCCAUUCAUCAUUCAUCAUUCAUCAUUCAUCAUUCAUCAUUCAUCAUUCAUCAUUCAUCGUUGGAUUUUUGGUUAUUUCUUUUUGUAAUUUAUCACCUCUAUUUUCGCAAUGCCUUUUUUAUAUUCCUUCUAGAAUCCAUGCCGCCAUAGACACAAGACACAUUCGAUCAGAAAAAAAGGACGCAAAGACACAUUUAAAUGUUGAUUAAACUGUUAUUAAUGAUUUUUGAUGUAGAAGUUUCGGGUUUGCGGACGAAACCUUCACCACCACCUCUCUUAUAUUCAAUCAAAUCAAAGUGUCACCUAAAUUAUUAAUAAAAAUAAAAAAUAAUUAAAAAGAAAAUGAUGUUACUAACAAAAUCCUAAAUCUUAAAAUUAUAAACCCUAAAUCCUAAACUCAAACUCUAAAUCCUAAACCCAAACUCUAGAUCAUAAACCCAAACCCUAUACAUAAAUCCAAAUCCUAAACCUAAACCCUAAACCCAAAUUAUAUAUCAUAAACCUGAAUCUUAGACCCUAAACCUGAAUUUUAGACCUUAAAUUCAAACCAUAAACCCUAAACCUAAAAAGUUUGAAUUUGGAUUUAAGGUUUACAGUUUGGUUUAGGAUAUAGGAUUUGAGUUUGGAUUUAGAGUUUACGGUUUGGAUUUACAGUUUAGGUUUAGGGUUUAGGAUUUGGAUUUAUAGUAUAGAGUUUGGGUUUGGGGUUUGAGUUUAGGGUUUGGGUUUGGGUUUAGUAUUUAGGGGUUAGAUUUAGAUUUAGAGUUUAGAAUUUAGGAUUUAGUGUUUUGUUAGGCAUCAUUUUUUUUUAACUAUUUUAAACUUUUUAAAUAAAAUUUAAUAUUUUUAUUAAUUAUCUAGGUGGCACUUUGAUUGGUGGUAAGAGAAAUGGUAAAUUUAAAGGUUCACUAUAGGAAAUGAACCUAAGUUCUGUUCGUUGACAAACUAAUGAAAAACAACUUACUCGAAAUCUUCAACAGAAUACAAAUAAAACUAUUGUCAAGUGUGAAUUUACAUACUAAUACAUUUCAGAAUAUUAGACAUAUAAUUUUUAGACAUAGUUUUAUUAAAAUAAAAGUGUUAAACCAGGAAAUACAUUUAAGUGUUGUGUAGUAAAUUGAGAUUUUUAAUAGCAUCUUGAAUAUUUUUUUAUAUAAACAUUGAAUUCACGGAUAUAAACUGUAAUCGAAAUUGACAUGGAACAGUGUUUUUAAAACCAAACCAAUCCGAUGGUUGAACCGGGUUCGACCAUGAACCGGUUACAUAGUCGGGUUGGAUCUAAUAAUUGGUCCGACCAUGAACCGGUCACGUAGCCAAAUUGGAGCUUAAAGUUAUUAAACUGAUAAAAACCAUUAGAACAAUCAAAAUCUAAAAAUUAAUGAUAUAAACAUAAAACUAGUUUAUAUUUAUAAUGUUUUAUGUUUUAAAUUCAUUUAUAUUUUAAUUAUGUAUAAUAUUUACUAACAUUACUUUUAAAUAUAUACACUAAAAGUAUAUUAAAACUGAUUAUUAAACCAAGUUUGACCCGGUCGAACCAGAUUAAACCGUGACCCAAAAUUAUCCGGUUCAGCUUCCGGUCUGGUUUCAAAAACACUGCGCCAUGGAAGGAUUUGAUUGGUUCUCUCUCUCCCACCAUCUUCAUGAUGUACAAUUUGUAAAGACUUUUACAUAGUUUACUAAAUUGUUGUUCAUCUGAGUGGGGGUUAUUAGUUGUCUCUAUUGUGACAUCGCCACGAAGGAGGAACCCACUCACGUUACAUCUUUGAAGUAAAGUAGUUUGGAUUUAACCACAUGAUAAGAUGCUCCAUCAUCGCAUAAUCCUUUUUGUUCUUAUUAAAUAAUUUUAACUAUUUUUUUCCUUUAGUUUUGCUCUCGUGUAAAGCCGAUUCCCCUAGAAAGAGCAUGCCGAUACGCAUAUAGUAUUCUGAAACUAAAUAAAUCAUAAACUAAGGAAAUCAUAUAAUCACAUGGUAGAUGGUAAGGCUUGAGCUGAACCAUUCUCAGCUGAAUCUGUCAGACAAACCGUAUUUUAAGCUGAUCACAAAACAGAUAACAUAAUGUUUAAUAACGAAAAAUUUGAACUAAACAAACUUUGCAGAUUAAUGCCUUGUUAUUUGCUUGGAUAUACUCGUUUUUAACAUGCAUAUAAAUAUAAUUUAUAGCACAAGCGUUACUUUGAAGCUUCAUCAAAUAUAUGUUACAGCUUUCAUAAAAAAAUGUUUACAUCUUCAGAAUAGGAUAUAGUUUUGGUAUUUGAGUGUUUCGUGUGUAAAUUUUGGAUCCCCUCUCCUUAAAAGAGAGGAAGUCGUAUAUGUAGAGUUUUAUCUUAUAUGAACUAUAAGAUCGGGUUAUAUGCUGAUCACAUCCGCACUGAUUCAAGUUCCUAGGUCAACCCGGUACAAAACACUUAACAACUAUCACCUCCUUUGUUAUCCUACUCACCAGUUGUCCAAUAAGUUAUUGUGAUCAUAAAAAUAUAUAACCCAACAUAUGAGUUGCAGGCUACAACUUGCAGCGGUGACGAGUGGUUUGGCAGAGCUAUCUCACACAUUUAGAUUUGUAAUAUUCGAGGAAUGGCUUUCACCUGUUACUUGUUGAAGAUAUAUUAUUGUGGAUUGGUCAAUUCUUAUUGUGCAAGUUCAAAUGUGAUCUUGUUAUGGUAAAUAUUUGGUUUUAUCGGAGAUAACUUGUAAAUAUUUUUUUGUAAAAGGUCUUCGUAUUUAAAAAUUGGUUUUAAAAGUAGAAUACAAUUGAGACCGGGUGAUUGUGGUCGGAUGAUAAGGGGACGGGGUUGGGACGCUAACAUGUGUCAGAUUUGAUCUACGUACUGCGUGAAACUAAGUUACAAUUAUUCUGGCAUUUAACAAGGAUAUGAGUCCAUGUUUUAGAGCUCAUUUCAAUGCCCAGAAAAAGUGUCUAUCCGUAGGCAGCACAUUUCCUUGGAGAUUAAUCUAUGCAUUUCUAUGGAUUUCAGAUACCCUCGAGUUAAAAAAAAGAAUUGAAGAAAAAGAAACAGAAAAAAAAAUACAACAAAAAGAUAAGUCAGUUGAUAAAAAAAAAACAGAAAAAGUCUUUUUUAUCCAACAAUAAGAUAGUGUAACUUUUAGUGUAAAAGUUACACUAUCUUAAUAUAAUAUUAUAAUUAAAAUCACAUCAAAUUUGGUGUGAUGCUAUCCAUCACACUAAACACUAUUUUUAUUAAUAAAUAUAUAAUUAAAUACUUAUAUAUCUUUAAAUACUAUUUAGAAACAGAAAAUUAUUUAAAAACUGAAUUGUCCAAAUAUUUUUAUUUAACUAAUAUGGAAUUAUCUAAAUUAUAUGAUAUGUAAAUCCAAACAACAUUUUUAAUGAAGGGUAAAAAACAUUUAUACUCAUAGGGUUAACUAAUCUAGACUUAGGGUUUAAAGUUAAGGGGUGGGGUAGGAUUUUUAGAAUUUAAAAUAUAUGAUUCUAAUAAAUAUAUAAAUAUAUACUUAAGAAAUAUAUAUAUUUUUUUUUUUUAAAAAAAGGGAAAUUGCCAUUACCACAUUCAUAGUACUAUUUUUUAUGUUUACACUAACUACUUUACCUUCACUUUUAGUGAAAGAUAAAAUAUAUUUAUAUUUGUAGGGUUAACUAAUCUAGAUUUAAGGUUUAGAGCUGAGGGGCAGGGUAGGGUUUUUGGAAUGUGAAAUUUAGUUUCAAACAUAAUUUUUGAUUUUCAAAAAGAAAUUUUGAAAAAAAAUCGAAAAAAAUUUCAAAUAAAAAUAUAAAAAGAUUUGAAUUUGAAAAAUUAUAAUUCGGAAACAUAAAAAACUAUUUUUUAUUUUUUUAUUUAUUUAAAUAAUUAUUUAUUAUAUAUAUAGAGAACAAUAGUAUAAGAGUUUUUUGCCAUUUAAUGAAGAAGAUAUUUUUGAAAAUGUUUUUCUUUAGUUGUGGUAAAGAUGAAUAAUGGUAACAUGAAAAUGGUAAACAUGAAAUUUCCCCCUGAAUUAUAUGUAAUUACUCAAAAUUAUCCGAAAAAUUUGAACCAAACCAUGAACUAGCUGGUUUUUGAUAUUUUUACAAGAACAUAACCAAAAUUUUUUAAAAAAUCGAGUCAAAACCAAACCAAUUUUACAAAUAUCCGAACAAGUCUUAUACUUUUAAGAACUAAAACCAGAAAAUUAAUUUGUUUAUUUCAUAGGGUAAUUCUUUGAACGCUAGCCAGCUUAGGUUAUGAGUCGUAGAAGCCCAAACCAGAGUGGAUGCAAAAUAUAUGCUGGGCACACAAAAGCCCAUAAACAAAAACAUAAACUUAAGAAAAAAAAGAAGAAGAGAUUGUUCGUUCGUCUGGAGAAGACGGAAGGGAUAAGGAUGAUAACGGUAAGCCAAGUUUCCUCUUACUCUUCUUCUUCUUCAAACCUCGCUUCUCUGUCUCGUCUCAACCCCAAAUCAUGCUGGAGACUCCGAAGCUCUUCUCUGUACGGACCAAGCUUCUCCAUUCCGACCAAAACCAGGAACACUUGUUGUAAAGCCAAUUCAUGGAAGAAUCUCGGUCUGGUCAUCAACUCUAGAAGGUACUUUCAAUCUUUAUAUCAGAUGGGUUCCACUUGAAAUCGAUUAUACAGGUCCUUACAUAGAUAAUGCGACUUAAAGUUCUCUGCUUUGUGGAUGAAACUAAAGAAAAUGAUUUUUAGGACCAGUUCUGAUGUUUCUUAGGCUAUGUCUGGUUUGAUAAGACUUGACAUUUUUCGGAAAAUGUUCUUAAGACUAUUUUGUGUUUCUUAGGCUGUGUCUGGUUCAAUAGAACUUGAUAUGUUGCUGUUCUAUCACUUUACUGUGCAUUGUUUGCUGAGGAAACGAAAAAAAAAGAAAGAUUUUUAGGACCAAUUGGUGUUUCUUAGGCUAUGUCUGGUUCCAUGAAUAGAUUAUAUGUGGCUGCUCUAUAUCACUUUACUUUACAUAUUUCCUGAUUGGAGUAUCUCUGUUCAGCUCUGAGGUUUCGACAUUUGAUCCUUUGGGCAUUAAUCCAAAAGAAGCUUCUGGCCUGAGUAGCAUUUGGGAAAGCCUUCUGAGUGUUUUGUCUCCAUCAUUUGAAAGCUCCUCUGGUAGCAAAAGAGAUAAGCCGUCUUCUGGUCGAGGCGUGGCAGGUCCGUUAAGCUUACAUACAUUCACUUUCUUGUUAGAGUGAUGCUUACUCUUUUGAAUGUUUUCCCAGCGGCUAUUGAGGACAGUUCCAUUGACUUUGGAGAUUUCUUCAAAGGCCCAUUACCUGGAAAGUUCCUAAAGCUUCUCGGCUUCUUAGCACUCUCUCGCCUCGGAAUCUACAUCCCACUAGGUGGAGUCAACCGAGAAGCCUUUGUCGGAAACUUGGAUCAGAACAGCUUGUUAACCACUCUAGACACAUUCUCCGGUGGUGGCAUUGGUAGACUCGGCAUAUGCUCCCUCGGUAUCGUCCCUUUCAUCAACGCCCAGAUCGUGUUUCAGCUUCUUGCUCAAGUCUACCCCAAGCUGCAAGACCUUCAGAAGAAAGAAGGCGAAGCGGGUAGGAAAAAGAUCCUUCAGUACACUCGUUAUGCUUCGGUUGGAUUCGCUAUAGUGCAGGCGAUAGGACAAGCGGUUUACCUCCGUCCUUACGUGAAUGACUUCAGCACUGAAUGGGUUGUUUCGUCCGUCACGCUGCUAACGCUUGGCUCUGUCCUCACUACUUAUAUUGGAGAGAGAAUCUCUGAUCUGAAGCUUGGAAACGGCACUUCGCUUUUGAUAUUCACGAGUAUUAUCUCUUACUUGCCUGCUUCAUUUGGUAGAACAGCGGCAGAAGCUUUGCAAGAAGGGAACUAUACUGGUCUCGCUACUAUAGUUGUUUCAUUCCUUCUCUUGGUACUUGGAAUCGUCUAUGUUCAGGUAACUAACUAACUACUCCUUCCGUUUCAGUUUAAUUGUUCUUGUUGAGUAAAAUUUUCCUUACAAAACAAGUACCGUUUUAGAAUUUCAAUGCGAAAUUUAUUAACAAUAUUUUUUAGUUUCUAUUAGUUGAAAUAUGGUUAGGAGUAUAGGUAAUGAUAUUUUUAAUUUUAAAAAUAUAGAAAAGUAAGUGUUUUCUUAAUCUUUUUGCAGAAAUUUAAAAAUGAUGAUUAAAAUGAAAUUGAGAGAGUAUAAACCAAGCUUUAUUCAGGAGUUUAUAGUCUAACUAACAAGCAAAGUGUUUCAGGAAGCAGAGAGGAAGAUUCCGCUCAACUAUGCGUCGAGAUACACCAGCAAAGCAGGUGGGCUUCAGAAGUCUGCUUAUCUUCCAUUCAAGGUCAAUAGUGCUGGAGUGAUGCCUAUCAUAUUCUCCACGUCAUCUCUUGCUCUCCCUGCUACUCUAGCGCGAUUCACCGGCAUAUCUUCUCUGAAGAAUGUUGCUUAUGGUUUGAACCCCGGAGGUGAGUUCUUCUACUUCAAAUGUUAUAUCGAGGAAGUAAGAUUUAUACCAAAAACUCUUUGCAGGUUCGUUCUAUCUUCCAACCAACAUACUUCUCAUAGCUUUCUUCAACUACUACUACACUUUCCUGCAACUUGACCCAGACGAUGUGAGUGAACAAUUGAAACGACAAGGUGCAUCCAUCCCUCUUGUCCGGCCUGGUAAAAGCACUGCUCUCUUCAUCAAAACCGUAAGAUCCUCUCUCUCUCUCUCUCCUUCCUCAGUUUCUUCAAACUUAACAUUUUGGUUUAUCAUCAUCAAUCUAUAUAAUAUUUGAAUACUCUUCAGGUUCUUGGCCGGAUAUCUGUUCUUGGAUCAGCAUUUCUGGCUGUUCUUGCUGCUGGUCCUGCUGUGGUGGAACAGAUCACUCACUUGACAGCAUUCAGAGGAUUUGCUGGUACUUCUGUUCUGAUUCUCGUAGGGUGCGCGACAGAUACUGCAAGAAAGGUUCAAGCUGAGAUCAUCUCGCAGAAGUACAAGAACAUUGAGUUUUAUGAGCUUGACAAGUAUGAUCCAUGAAAAACUAGUCCGUUCUACUGUUACAUAUGACACCAUCAAAUCAUAUUGUUGUACUGUAUGAACUUACUAUGUAACACCAAGGGUUUUGAAUUUGAUAGUAUAUAUAAUGUGAUAUUUGUCAAUGUAAUUUGCGAAAUGAGACUGAAACACCUAAACACUUCACACAAAAUUGAAAUGCAAUUCAUGACAUAUCUAUUUGCUUUUCUAUGUAUAAUUAUAAACACCUCACAUGGAGGCAAAGUCAUACGCAUGUAAAUUUCACACUAUUGAAACAUAGAACAUCAAAGUCUUGGUAUAUGUUUGCUCUUGAAACCUGAACAUGUCAAACUAAAGAAAGUCGAGAAAAGUUUCCCACACUUGUGUUUAUUUAUCCUGAAGACUGAGUUAUUUAGUAAUCCAGUGGCUUUGGCAUUUUAAUCGAAAUAGUUACACGGCAAUAACAUAAUAAAAAUAUAUCAUUCUAGAUAUUCAACCAGACCUUUGAUUAUUGAUAUAUAUAUAUACAACGUAACCAAUUCCGAUUACAAACACACAAUACAUUCAUGAGACUAUACCAUAUCUCUUCAAAUACUUCAAGGCAAUGCUCCUAUGAGCGUAGUGGAGGAUAGUUUCAUAUAUUCAACAUCCCUCAGCGACUCAACGUCUUUGCCUUGGAGUCCCUUACAUUGGAAAUAGGUAAUGGUGUAACUCACAAGCUGAAACAUCCUCACUGCAGCGAUAGAACUCACAAGAACCAAACCGAUGGUUAAGAUAACUGGAAAUGAACUGUUCAAAUCCACCCGCCUCACUAUCUGAACUAAACCGAAGGACACUAAACCGAAGAAAAGAUUCAAGAGGAAUAGUUUCGGUUUCAUCCCUUUAACGAUCUUUGCAGCUUUCCCCAAAGCUUGGAUCCCAUAAGUUUCCUCGAGGAUCGAUAUGACCAAAGAUAGAUACCAAACGAUAGCUAAAUAGGACUCAAACACUGAGAACAGAACAAACAAAGCCCCAGACUUGGCUGCCAAGUAAUCGAGUUUUGUAGAGAACAAAAGAAGAGGGAAAAGAACUAUGAAGAAGAGAAACCAAUAGCCAAGAGUGAACAGAACAAUGUAGAAAUAGGUCACAAGAGGUCCCUUCCAAUAUUUAAGGGUCAGAAGAACCGGAAAAUCUUUGAGCUUCACAUUCUCUUCUUUAUGAGUAAGAGCAGAAGCAUGGACGAUGACUAGAACCGAUAAAAGGUUGAUGACGGAGGAGACUGCGGCAAAGAUGUAUGAAGACACCACAAAUUGUUGAAAAUCUUGAAAGACUUUCAUAAGAUGGGCUAAGUAUUCUGGGGUGCUUGGAUCCAUCAAAGGUAUCAGACUUGAUUCUUGAAUCAAGUUUGUUAUCUCGGGUUUGAUGGCAAAGACGUUGAACAAGUAAACUAAAACAUUUAGAAACAGAGGGAAUACCAAGACAGAGAACAUCAACUUCUUGUUCUUGAGAAAGAGUUUGCCAGAUUCAUGUAAGAUACACAUAACCUCUUUUAGAACAUUCAAGAAGGAAGCCAUGGGGUUUCAAGAGAAAUAGAAAUGAAAAAAUUAUGAAUAUUGGUUUUAGAAAUGAUUGUGAGGGUUUAAGAUCAUACAUUCAUUACCAUCUGCUUAUAUAGUACCCAUCUUCUUAUCAUCCACUGACCAAGACCAAGUCUACAGAGCCACAAAUAUCACCUAUAUAUUUGAUCCAAAGUCAAAAGAAAGAAACAAAGACUUAGACGAAUUCAAGGUCAAGAAACCGAAUCAUAUAUACUAAGAGUUGUUAAAGCGAUGAAACAAGAGGUUACAUGUUUAAAUGUACGUGAUCAACACUCACUUCAUAAAAUUCAUGUUGAAACGGUCAAGCAACACCGUGGAGAAAAAAACAAAACGUCUAUAUCUAUAUAUACAUCAUCUUUUUAGAGACCUAAGGAUUCUAUAAACCAAUGAAGCAAUUGGUCUCAUCAAGUAUAAGUCGUAAACUACAAGUUAACGUUACAUCCUUGUCAAAUUCAACUUUACACAUCAUACUACUUGAGCAAACAUUGUUAAGAGAAACUUGCAAAUUAAAAAAAAUGAUUAUAAUAACUUCUAAUUAAAUUAUAGACUUAUAGUUGAAACAAAACAGAACACUUGCAAAUCUAACACACGACUUCUUCUUCUAUGACCAAAACAUCUCCACAAUUCUCCUUGUUGUUGUACCUUAAAGAAACAAAGAUUUUCAAAUAAUGUAAAAGAAACUUGCAAAUUCAAAGAAAAAAGUUAUAAUAACUCAUAAUUCAAUUAUAGUUGAAAGUAAAUAAACAGAACACUUAGAAAUCUAACAAACUACUUCUUCUAUGACCAAAACAUCUUAACAACUCUCCUUCUUGUGCAUCUUCCUCCCUCAACCUAACCCUAGCUCUGCAAAUUGGGCAACUCGCGGCUUUGAGCAACCAAGUGUCCACACACUUCCGAUGGAACACGUGUCCGCAACCAGGAAGGUUCCGACACCAUUGUCCCUGUCUGAACCCAUCAAGACAAACCACGCAAUCGCUUCCGUGCCGUGUGGUGGGUUCGUAGAAUUUAAAUUGCGGAAGCUUUUUAACGAAUCUUGAAGAUAACCCAUCCGAGGAUACAUGUCGGCGGUUACGUCGGCGACAUCGUAGGUGGCGAUGGAGAGAGGAGAGGAGGAAAGGGAGAAGAAGAAGAGAUGCGAUGCCGAGAAGGAGGAGGAAGAGAGAGAAUAUUGAUAUCAUGAUAACGCCUACGAGGAAUAGAGAGAUAAUUUUCGUUUUCGCCUUUGGCGGUGGUAGUGACGCCGAGGUAUACGGUGGCUCGCCGGAGACAUUCGUCGGAGGCAUCGCAAUAUAAAAAUAAUUCGUUUUUAGCUUCUCUGUCUUGUUUUUUUUUACACUUGAAUCUAAUGGGAAAAGCUAAACACGGAAUGCUUUGAUAUUUUUGUGAGCUAAAGUUCUAAAAAUGAGAGAUAUUUCUUCUUAGAAACAUGACGCAAUCAAAAAGUUUACAGAGAAACGGUCAUGUGUCAGUGAUUUUUUAAUUUUACUUUGGGUUUUGGAUCAUGUGAAAGCACUUUUAAUAUGGUUUUGUUUUGGCUCCAUGUCAGAAAUUUAUAACAGGUAUGUAUCGAGCUAUAUAAUAAUAACUAGUUGAUGUGCUGCACCUUGUGCGGAUUAAUAUAUCUAUACAUUUAACAAUUUUUAUUUUAAUUUUUAAUAAAAUAAUAAUAAUUAAAUUAGAUACAAAUUUUAAAUUAUUAUAAAUUAUAAAAUUUCAAUAUUCAUAUUGGUAAUCAAUUUAUUAAAUUAUAUUAUUUUGUUUCAUAUAUUUAUUUAUGUGAUGUAGAUUUUGGAUCAAAAUCUUUUUUAUAGUAAUAACUAAAUUAGGAAAUUUUGUAUGUGAAAUUAACGCAUAUUGUAUUUGGACUGAAAAGAAAUCAUGUGGUACUAUAAGGAUUAAAAAAAAUCACAAAUAUAAAACAUUAACAAAUAACAAUAGUUUAGGAGUGUUCAAUCUGGUAAAACCAAACCAUUCAAACCGAACCAAACCGAAAUAGAGAAAAUAGUCUGGAUUUGGAAGUACCAAGGAUGUUAUGUUUAGAAAACAUCAGUAUAUGAAUAUGGUUCAAUAUAUUAAGGGAUCAAACCGAAUAAACAAAAGAAACCGAUUAAUUCAGAUAUAUUAGUAUACUCAUAUAUAAAAUUUAUAAUAAUAUGUAUUUGAUCAAUAUUUUUAGUAAAAAUCAGAUAAAUUAGCUAUAAUAUUAGUCAUUAAAAUUAUAAAAUGAGAGAAAAAUAAUGAUGAUAUUAUCGGUAUAUAUUGUUAAUAUCUAUUUAUUAAUUCCUAAAUAUUAUGAUAAUUAUAUAUUAAAAUAUAUGUUUUAAAAAUAUUAGUAUAUAUAUAUAUAUUGGUAAAAUAUGUUUAUGUUUAUUAAUUAUUUAAAAUAUCAUGAUAAAUAAUUUAUAAACAUAUACAUAUAAAAAUAAAUAAAUUAAAUAAUAAUAUUAAUUAAACUAAUGAUUUAUCCUAUAACUAUGGAAAAGAAGAAAAAAUAAGCAAAUUAACUAAAUAAACUGAUUAAUUCAGAUAUAUUAGUAUACUUACAUAUAAAUAAAUUUUAGAAUAAUCUGUAUUUGAUCAAUAUUUUCAGUAAAAAUCAGAGAAAUUAGCUAUUAGCUAUAAUAUUAGUCACUAAAAUUAUAAAUGAGAGAAAAGUAAUGAUGAUACUAUCGGUAUAUAUUAUUAAUAUCUGUUUAUUAAUUAAAUGUCCUAAAUAUCAUGUUUAUUAUAUAUUAAAAUAUUUGUUUUAAAAAAUAUUAGUAUAUAUAUGUAAAAUAGGUUCAUGUAUAUCAUGAUUUUAAAUAUCAUGGUAAAUAUAUAGUGUUUUUCAUGAUUUUAAAUAUCAUGAUAAAUAGAUAGAUAUAAAAAAAAAUAUUAAUUAAACUAAUAAUUUAUCCUAAAAUCAUGGAAAAGAUGACAAGUAAGUAAAUUAACUAAAAUCAUGGAGAAGAUGACAAAUAAGCCAAAUCACUUCAUAAAUAAUAGUAUAGAUACCUUUUUUUCUGUUUGAGCAACAUAAUAAUACCUUACUAGAUUUUGAUCCGAGAUUUGAAAGCGCAGAUUUUUUUUUUUAAAAAAUUCCACUGAAAAAAAGAAUUUUCAAUUAUAAAUCAUGUGUUUUAAUUUUUGAUAGUCUGAUAUAGGAUUUGGGAAUAAUGUGAUUUGGGAAUAAUGUCCACAUCCGAAAAACUAAUCCAGAACUGACCUAAAAAUCAGAUAUUGAUUCUGCUAAGAUCCGGCCUAAAUAUCUGAAAGGGUCUAUUUUUCGAAACCCCAAAAAUCGAUACGAACCCAUACUGGGAAUUGAAUGGAUAUCCGUACAUAACCGAAUAUAAAAUAUAUAUACAGUAGAAUCUCUAUAAAUUAAUAAUGUUGAGACUUUAGAAUUUUAUUAAUUUAUAGAGAUAUUAAUUUAAAAAAGUUUCCUUAUUUAGAUUUUCUUAUAUUUUAAGAUAUAUUUAUUCUAAUAUAAGAAAAAUAUAUUGAUUUUAGUGUAUAUACAUUAAUUGUUAUUCUUUGAAAUUUUACACUUAUAUUAAUUUUAUUAUAUUUUUCGGUGUAUAUAAUAUAUAUUGCAUAGAACUUAAAUGUGGUUUUAAACAUAAUAUUACUAAAUCUCAUCAAAAAUAUAUUAAGUGGUAAGAAAAUAUAAAGAUAAUUCCAUUGUGAAUAUAAAAAUAAUAAUAUAAUAAUAGGUUCUGAUUUAUAUAAAAUAUGUAUACAUAUAAAUUAUUAAUUUAUAAUUUUAAUGGGACCAUAUAUUUACAUAUAACUUUAUAAAAAAAUAUUAUCUUAUUAUUUUAUCGAUUUGUGUCAAAUUUUGAACUGGCCCAAGUUGAGGCCGACAAAAUUUAUUAAUUUAUAGAGAUUAUUAAUUUAUCGAGUAUUAAUUUAUAGAGGUUCUACUGCAUAUAUUUGUUAUAAUUAUACUUAUAAUAAUAUUAAUACUUAAUAUUAAAAUUAUAAAUCAAAUAUAUUAUUUAUUUUAGUUAUUUAUGGAUAUAUUUGGGUGUUUUGGAUACAAAAAACCUAAAUCAUAUUGUAUCUAUGGUUAUUUUUGGAUUGAUAGUAUCCCUAAAUAUCUUUUGAUAAUUAAUACUGUUAAUUAGCCAUAAAUAUAUGAGUGACAUGAUUUUGUAAAUAAGUCUAAAACUGAGGGUAUAAUUUUAUUAGAGAUUCUGUUUUAAUAGUAUAGAUAAAUAUUUGAGUGACAUGACUUCUUAUUCACAAAGUUUUAAAUAUUAUCUUGAUGGAAAAGGAAAAGAUAAUACUAGGGUUUCAAAUUAAUAUAUGUCGUUAGGGUAGUCUUUGGGGGCGAUUGGUUUUCAGGCUACCACCCGCAAACGCAGCUUUUGCGGUUGGUAGCGGUUGUCGGCGGUUUGCAACAAUCACUCAAAUCGCUAUAAACCGCUUCAAACCGCUUCGAAUCUCAUAAAUUCAAAAGCUGACUCCAGCUAGCGUUUGCGGUUGCGGGCGGUUGCGGGAGGGUAAAAUCUUUUUCUUUUUUUUUAAACAAUAUAUAUACAAAAGUAAAAAUAUUUAAUAAAAAAUUUAAAAUUGAAAUUAUGAAAAUGUUAAAAUAUAUCUAUUAUAUUUUAGUUAAUAUUAUAAAGUUUUAUAGUAAAAACAAUUUCAAUAAAUUUUCAAAAAUUAAAAUUAUAACUUUCUAAAUAUGAAUUUUAUAUUUAUUAUAAUUUUAUGAUUUUGAUAUUUUUAUAAUUAUAUUAAAUGUAAAUAUUGUUAAUUUAUUAUUUGACUGUUACUGCAUUUGGUAGUUAACCAGUCAUAAGUCACCCGCAAACGCACCAAUUUUUAACCACAGUACCAGUCGUACAAAUCUCUUAAAACCGCUAGAAACCGCAGCCGUCCGCAUCCACAAACUCCCGCUAGAAACCGCUGCGUUUGAACCAGUCAGGCCCUUAGUGAUGAAUCUCUUAUAUAUUAAAAGAGAAACAUUUUAAUAAAUGUGUUCGUGUCAGUCUCACAAUGAAUUAAACUUUAAAGUGCUAACGUGUUGUUUGGAGAAAGCUGCUCAGCCCAAAUUUGUAUGAUUAACAGUUUAACACUAACACGUUCCCAUUUAUGACAUCUCACGGGUCAAUACAUAAAAAUAGUUUUUGUAUCAACAUAUUUCCUUUACAAUAAACCUCUACAAACACGCUUUGCUAAUAUUCUACGUCACUGAUUUUAUCAAAAGUAAACACAUGAACAGACCAAGAAAAUCACAUAAUCUCGCAGUCUUUUGGUAUGCAAAACAUACUCACUGCUUUAUUCUUCCGAUUAAAAAGAAAAGAAUAAAACAUCAGCCUGAAAACAGAAUAUAAUGAACAUAUCCUAAAUCGAGGUGAAAAUUUAUUGUGCUAUUGUUUUGCUCGAAAACAAACAAUUUUGGGAGAAACUGAAGAAAAAGUUAGAGAGAGGUGAGAGAUUUUUUCUCUCUUUUCUCUCUCCCUCGAACUCUUCUUCUCUUCGCCGCUCCAAUUGUUUCUUCUUCCGGUGGCCGACGGAUGGUCUCUACCCGUCGGUCGCCACCCCCAAAACGCUCCCGUGUCCAGCCUCCUCCCCUGCUAAGAUCUGUCGUUCUUUUCUCCUCUUUGCAUAUCAUCUCUGGUUCUUCAUCGGGUUGCGGCCGGAUCCGGUGAACCAAAGCGGUUUCUGAGUGUGUACUCAGCAACUCUGGAGUGGUGGCGAGGUCGUUGGUGGUCGGAUCUAAGCAGGAGGCACCGACGUUUUUGUAGAUCUAGGGUUUGACUUGAACCAGAUAUGGGUCAGAUCUGUUUUGGAGGUCUGUCGGAGUGGUUGAGCGUCGCUGCCUCAUCUUCUCCGGUGUGUUCUACCUACUCUGUCCUCCCACGUCUCAGCUGUCGACUGCUCUAGUCAGAAUUUCCCCAUCUAGCCUUCGGUCUAAGAUGAAAAGGUGAAGCUGAGGCCUUCGCUGGGGACUUCUUCUCCAUCCAGUUUUCAUGACAGCCUCCAUGGCGUGUUGGUAAGCUACGGUUUGUUUUCUUUGACGUGAGAUGGUCAUGGGUUUGGUGCCUUGCUCUGUUCUGUCUCUGGUUAAGGGAUGUGCCUUCUUUCCUUCCGCCUGUUGAUGGGAGUCUCCAACUCCUCCGUAUACAAAGCUAUAGAAGAAUGUUGUGGGGACCGGAGUUCUGCCGUAUUAACCUCCGCUUCCUAACAGCUAGUACUCACCGGUGCUUAUUUUACUGGUUUCUUCGUGUUGGGAUGGACUCACAGGGACCUGGUUUGUUAUCUUUGUGGAGUGUGUACAACGUCUGGAGUGGACCUCGACGGUUGCGAUGGCCGGACCAGGGCUUGGUCACCCCUGCUUCGCCUGUCCGCCAGUUGGAGUCGCCUUUGGGAUGGUCUGCGGUGCCUCAGACUGUUCUCCGGUUGUCUGCUCUACUGAUCUCUUCUCUCGUUGCAGGUUCCGACAAUGAGACUAAGUUGAGAUCUCCUGUAGCUUAAUGGUUGUUAUGCUUUCUGCAAACUAGCUAAGCUUUAAUCUUGUUCUUAUGGAUUAAGAUUAGACCUUCAUUGUUCUAGAGAGUCUUUUUUAACUUUUUUUGUGGCUCUUUACAACACAAUUGCUUUCAUUAGCUUCCUAGAUACUUAGGAUUUGAUCUUCCAAAACCGUGCAUCUCCUUGUAUCAUUAUUGAUUUAAUGAAGAUUCACAUACUUAAAAAAAAAAAAAACAAUUUUGGGAUACUUUUGCUUCAAAAUUUACCCAAUAUUCCAUGUCACGAACUUGAAACUGUCAGACAGAAUUAACCAUAUAUGAUUAACACAGUUGUCUCAGACAAAGCGAAAAUCAUCAACUCACAUUGUCUUUUGGUCUGUAUAACAUACUCACUGCUUCUCUUCAAGUCUGAACAGACACCCUAGGUGGAGAAGACACCUAUAUAUUUGUUUCUCCUAAAGUCUGCUUCUCUUAAAGUGUAUGACCAUCUCCAGCACGUCUACAAUGU